This 324-nucleotide ribosomal RNA is filed under the name uncultured eukaryote. Its description in RNAcentral is "partial 18S ribosomal RNA". It matches the Rfam family "Eukaryotic small subunit ribosomal RNA", at positions 1470 to 1796 of the family's 1831-position model. The record is from RNAcentral.
CCCUUAGAUGCUCUGGGCCGCACGCGCGCUACACUGGUCGAUGCAACGAGUUUCUUUCCUUGGCCGACAGGCCUGGGCAAUCUUUGAACAUCGAUCGUGAUCGGGAUAGAUUCUUGUAAUUUUUGAUCUUAAACGAGGAAUUCCUAGUAAACGCAAGUCAUCAGCUUGCAUUGAUUACGUCCCUGCCCUUUGUACACACCGCCCGUCGCACCUACCGAUUGAAUGGUCCGGUGAGAUCUCCGGACUGGCGUGAGUCGGAGCAAUCUGACAAACACCGGAAAGUUGAUUAAACCUUACCAUUUAGAGGAAGGUGAAGUCGUAACA